This 238-nucleotide ribosomal RNA is filed under the name uncultured bacterium. Its description in RNAcentral is "partial 16S ribosomal RNA". It matches the Rfam family "Bacterial small subunit ribosomal RNA", at positions 100 to 334 of the family's 1533-position model. The record is from RNAcentral.
CGGAACGGGUGAGUAACGCGUGAGGAACCUGCCUCAAAGAGGGGGACAACAGUUGGAAACGACUGCUAAUACCGCAUAAGCCCACGGCUCGGCAUCGAGCAGAGGGAAAAGGAGUGAUCCGCUUUGAGAUGGCCUCGCGUCCGAUUAGCUAGUUGGUGAGGUAACGGCCCACCAAGGCAACGAUCGGUAGCCGGACUGAGAGGUUGAACGGCCACAUUGGGACUGAGACACGGCCCAA